This 429-nucleotide ribosomal RNA is filed under the name Actinomycetes bacterium. RNAcentral describes it as "Actinobacteria bacterium partial 16S ribosomal RNA". It matches the Rfam family "Bacterial small subunit ribosomal RNA", at positions 355 to 776 of the family's 1533-position model. The record is from RNAcentral. Lineage: Bacteria; Bacillati; Actinomycetota; Actinomycetes.
UAGGGAAUCUUCCGCAAUGGGCGAAAGCUUGCCGGAGCAACGCCGCGUGAGUGAUGAAGGUCUUCGGAUCGUAAAACUCUGUUAUUAGGGAAGAACAAAUGUGUAAGUAACUAUGCACGUCUUGACGGUACCUAAUCAGAAAGCCACGGCUAACUACGUGCCAGCAGCCGCGGUAAUACGUAGGUGGCAAGCGUUAUCCGGAAUUAUUGGGCGUAAAGCGCGCGUAGGCGGUUUUUUAAGUCUGAUGUGAAAGCCCACGGCUCAACCGUGGAGGGUCAUUGGAAACUGGAAAACUUGAGUGCAGAAGAGGAAAGUGGAAUUCCAUGUGUAGCGGUGAAAUGCGCAGAGAUAUGGAGGAACACCAGUGGCGAAGGCGACUUUCUGGUCUGUAACUGACGCUGAUGUGCGAAAGCGGGGGGAUCAAACAGG